ACGGGUGAGUAACACGUGGGCAAUCUGCCCUUCACUCUGGGACAAGCCCUGGAAACGGGGUCUAAUACCGGAUAACACCUGCCCGGGCAUCCGGGUGGGUUAAAAGCUCCGGCGGUGAAGGAUGAGCCCGCGGCCUAUCAGCUUGUUGGUGAGGUAGUGGCUCACCAAGGCGACGACGGGUAGCCGGCCUGAGAGGGCGACCGGCCACACUGGGACUGAGACACGGCCCAGACUCCUACGGGAGGCAGCAGUGGGGAAUAUUGCACAAUGGGCGAAAGCCUGAUGCAGCGACGCCGCGUGAGGGAUGACGGCCUUCGGGUUGUAAACCUCUUUCAGCAGGGAAGAAGCGAAAGUGACGGUACCUGCAGAAGAAGCGCCGGCUAACUACGUGCCAGCAGCCGCGGUAAUACGUAGGGCGCAAGCGUUGUCCGGAAUUAUUGGGCGUAAAGAGCUCGUAGGCGGCUUGUCACGUCGGGUGUGAAAGCCCGGGGCUUAACCCCCGGGUCUGCAUUCGAUACGGGCUAGCUAGAGUGUGGUAGGGGAGAUCGGAAUUCCUGGUGUAGCGG
RNAcentral lists this ribosomal RNA (566 nucleotides) under Streptomyces sp. HRRP052. RNAcentral's name for it is "bacterial SSU rRNA". It matches the Rfam family "Bacterial small subunit ribosomal RNA", at positions 102 to 681 of the family's 1533-position model. The record is from RNAcentral. Lineage: Bacteria; Bacillati; Actinomycetota; Actinomycetes; Kitasatosporales; Streptomycetaceae.